GUAAUGCCGGAUGCUCCAGUUGAUCGCAUGGUCUUCUGGGAAAGCUUUCGCGGUAUGGGAUGGGGUCGCGUCCUAUCAGCUUGACGGCGGGGUAACGGCCCACCGUGGCUUCGACGGGUAGCCGGCCUGAGAGGGCGACCGGCCACAUUGGGACUGAGAUACGGCCCAGACUCCUACGGGAGGCAGCAGUGGGGAAUAUUGCACAAUGGGCGCAAGCCUGAUGCAGCGACGCCGCGUGAGGGAUGGAGGCCUUCGGGUUGUAAACCUCUUUUAUCGGGGAGCAAGCGAGAGUGAGUUUACCCGUUGAAUAAGCACCGGCUAACUACGUGCCAGCAGCCGCGGUAAUACGUAGGGUGCAAGCGUUAUCCGGAAUUAUUGGGCGUAAAGGGCUCGUAGGCGGUUCGUCGCGUCCGGUGUGAAAGUCCAUCGCUUAACGGUGGAUCCGCGCCGGGUACGGGCGGGCUUGAGUGCGGUAGGGGAGACUGGAAUUCCCGGUGUAACGGUGGAAUGUGUAGAUAUCGGAAAAGAAACAC
Molecule: ribosomal RNA, 533 nt
Filed under: Bifidobacterium longum subsp. suillum
Lineage: Bacteria; Bacillati; Actinomycetota; Actinomycetes; Bifidobacteriales; Bifidobacteriaceae
Description: bacterial SSU rRNA
Rfam family: Bacterial small subunit ribosomal RNA
Source: RNAcentral